AUUGAACGCUGGCGGCAGGCUUAACACAUGCAAGUCGAGCGAGCGGCGGACGGGUGAGUAAUGUCUGGGAAACUGCCUGAUGGAGGGGGAUAACUACUGGAAACGGUAGCUAAUACCGCAUACCAUCAGAUGUGCCCAGAUGGGCUUAGCUAGUAGGUGGGGUAAUGGCUCACCUGGGCGCCGAUCCCUACCUGGUCUGAGAGGAUGAACAGACGAACUGGAACGGAGACACGGUCCAGACGAAUGCGGGAGGGAGCAGUGGGGAAGAUUGGACUAUGGGCGAAAGCCGGAUGCAGCAAUGCGGCGUGUGUGAAGAAGGCCUUCGGGUUGUAAAGCACUUUCAGCGAGGAGGCGUUACUCGCAGAAGAAGCACCGGCUAACGCCGUGCCAGCAGCGGCGGUAAUUC
RNAcentral lists this ribosomal RNA (406 nucleotides) under uncultured bacterium. Its description in RNAcentral is "partial 16S ribosomal RNA". It matches the Rfam family "Bacterial small subunit ribosomal RNA", at positions 29 to 526 of the family's 1533-position model. The record is from RNAcentral.